CUCAUAAAACUUGUACCUCUGUACAAUAUGAUGAGAAGCACCAACCGCAUUUUCUGUUGAAGGCCGUAAUUAUUCUCCCUUCAAUAGAGAAUCCAAAUCCAGUAUGCUGAAAGGGGUUUCUUUGAAAGUAUCAGCAAAACAAACAAGUUUCUAUAAAUGUUCCAGCUUUAUCCCAUUUUAUGAAGCAUAUGCAACCAAUUAAAACUGAUCUAUGUGUUGUAAGGCUCGGUGUUCAAGUUCAGUGGCAGAAUAUUUUGUUGAUUUUGGAUUGAGGCUAUUAACAUAGCAAAUGUUUGCUCUGAAUCAUCUUAAUCAUCAUGCAUUUUUUUGAUGAUUUUCUUUAUGCAUCAAAAAGAACUCCAUUGAUUGAGAACUCCUAAAAUCCACAAUGUAAUUGAUGAAUGGAUUGUUGGAUUUGACAAUUCAAGUACAGAUUUUGCACAUCAGCUAGCAUAAUCUGAGACCUGUAUGGUUCACUGAAAAUAGGAAUGCAAGGGAGACCACCUUUUGAAUCGAAAGGCUAAUAAAGACUUCUGCAUCCUUCUGUCCAUCUUCGGCCAGGUCUGCUAACUGAAGCUCUGCAAGGGUGAAUACAUAGUCACAGCUCCAUUUACUGUUCCAUCCUGAACUAGAUGUUGAAAUGGUGAUCAGACGGCGAGGUGCUCUUGAAACCUUGCAUGAUUUCUUUUUCGAAUUCUGGGAAAGAAUAGAAGCAAAAAACAUUCUGUUACAUUUGCUUUGGCAAUUAAUUGCAUGUUGAAUUACUUUGUUGUGAAUUCAUACAUCCUUAAAUCUGUUUGCAGUAAAAUGAUGUUCUUAUCAGGGAGCACAAUUUCACCUGUGGGAUUUCAUCUUUACUCGAAGAAACAGCUGCAACUCUGGCCUCAAAAUGUGUGCAGGUCGGCAGUUUGAGGCCUUGGCUUAGUCUUCUGGUAUUGCCAAGUUGAUUGUCAAUAGGAGUGAAGAGCCUUGAGAUGGAGUGAUAUGAUUUCGCCAUCUCCAAUUGCGUGGAGAUUUCAAUCUUUCCUGCUCUUCUUUUUCUACCAUGCAAUGGAUUUUGUAGACCUUAUCUCUUUGGCGGAAAUGGUUCAUGUGGUCCAUAUUUUUAGUAGUUAAGCUACUAUCUUUGUGCUUCCUUAUCUACAAAUGCUGGUCCACCAUGCGCCACACGUCAGUAUUUGCUGUAGGCCAAUCUGACUAUAUAAAUAUGUUGGUCCUCU
This 1220-nucleotide long non-coding RNA is filed under the name Phoenix dactylifera (date palm). Its description in RNAcentral is "long non-coding RNA (PDAC_LNC015415)". The record is from RNAcentral. Lineage: Eukaryota; Viridiplantae; Streptophyta; Magnoliopsida; Arecales; Arecaceae.